RNAcentral lists this ribosomal RNA (700 nucleotides) under uncultured bacterium. RNAcentral's name for it is "bacterial SSU rRNA". It matches the Rfam family "Bacterial small subunit ribosomal RNA", at positions 93 to 790 of the family's 1533-position model. The record is from RNAcentral.
AAGUGGCGAAGGGGUGAGUAAUUCAUCGGAACGUGCCCAGUCGUGGGGGAUAACGUAGCGAAAGCUACGCUAAUACCGAUACGACCUGAGGGUGAAUGCGGGGGAUCGCAAGACCACGCGCGAUUGGAGCGGCCGAUGGCAGAUGUAGGUAGUUGGUGGGGUAAGGCCUACCAAGCCUGCGAUCUGUAGCUGGUCUGAGAGGACGACCAGCCACACUGGGACUGAGACACGGCCCAGACUCCAACGGGAGGCAGGAGUGCGGAAUUUUGGACAAUGGGCGCAUGCCUGAUCCAGCCAUACCGCGUGCGGGAAGAAGGCCUUCUGGUUGUAAACCUCUUUCGUCAGGGAAGAAAUCUUCUGGGCUAAUACCUCGGGAGGAUGAGGGUACCUGAAGAAUAAGCACCGGCUAACUACGUGCCAGCAGCCGCGGUAAUACGUAGGGUGCAAGCGUUAAUCGGAAUUACUGGGCGUAAAGCGUGCGCAGGCGGUUCCAUAAGACAGAUGUGAAAUCCCCGGGCUCAACCUGGGAACUGCAUUUGUGACUGUGGGGCUAGAGUACGGUAGAGGGGGAUGGAAUUCCGCGUGUAGCAGUGAAAUGCGUAGAUAUGCGGAGGAACACCAAUGGCGAAGGCAAUCCCCUGGACCUGUACUGACGCUCAUGCACGAAAGCGUGGGGAGCAAACAGGAUUAGAUACCCUGG